Molecule: ribosomal RNA, 529 nt
Filed under: Ilyonectria destructans
Lineage: Eukaryota; Fungi; Ascomycota; Sordariomycetes; Hypocreales; Nectriaceae
Description: eukaryotic LSU rRNA
Rfam family: 5.8S ribosomal RNA (bases 156-309)
Source: RNAcentral
GUGAACCUGCGGAGGGAUCAUUACCGAGUUUACAACUCCCAAACCCCUGUGAACAUACCAUAUUGUUGCCUCGGCGGUGCCCGUUUCGGCGGCCCGCCAGAGGACCCAAACCCUGUAUUAAAGUAUUCUUCUGAGUAAAUGAUUAAAUCAAUCAAAACUUUCAACAACGGAUCUCUUGGCUCUGGCAUCGAUGAAGAACGCAGCGAAAUGCGAUAAGUAAUGUGAAUUGCAGAAUUCAGUGAAUCAUCGAAUCUUUGAACGCACAUUGCGCCCGCCAGUAUUCUGGCGGGCAUGCCUGUCCGAGCGUCAUUUCAACCCUCAAGCCCCCGGGCUUGGUGUUGGAGAUCGGCGAGCCCUCCGGGGCGAGCCGUCUCCCAAUUUAGUGGCGGUCUCGCUGUAGCUUCCUCUGCGUAGUAGCACACCUCGCACUGGGAAACAGCGUGGCCACGCCGUAAAACCCCCCACUUCUGAAAGGUUGACCUCGGAUCAGGUAGGAAUACCCGCUGAACUUAAGCAUAUCAAUAAGCGG